This is a long non-coding RNA of Myotis lucifugus (little brown bat), 329 nucleotides long. RefSeq lists it as uncharacterized. The transcript has 3 exons. The record is from RefSeq and is a predicted model, not a curated record. Lineage: Eukaryota; Metazoa; Chordata; Mammalia; Chiroptera; Vespertilionidae.
GGUUUCCUCUGCCGCCUUCGAGGUGUAAACGCACCCGCAGGGCAGCCUGAGGUUUGCGUAACCGGAGACUCGCCAGUGGAGAUGCCGUGGGUGUGUCCACACUCCGGGGACACCUUACUGUACCAGCGGCGAUGUUUGAAGUUUUAAAAUGAGAUCAGCAUGCCAUCCUGGCCAGGUUUUGACAUGAAUGGGACCACUCGGGGAUGGUGUGGAGCAGCACUAUACAAUAGAACUGCCUGUGAUGAUGGGAGUCCUGCCCUGUAUGAUAGCCACGAACCACCUGUGGCUAUUGCGCACUUGAAAUGCCUAGUGCAACCAAGGAAAUGAAU